This 486-nucleotide ribosomal RNA is filed under the name uncultured bacterium. Its description in RNAcentral is "bacterial SSU rRNA". It matches the Rfam family "Bacterial small subunit ribosomal RNA", at positions 30 to 506 of the family's 1533-position model. The record is from RNAcentral.
AUUGAACGCUGGCGGCGUGCUUAACACAUGCAAGUCGAGCGAUAUUUGACAGCGUAUCGUCAGGUAUAGCGGCAGACGGGUGAGUAAUACUUGGGCAAUCUGCCCUUGAGUGGGGGACAACCUGCCGAAAGGCGGGCUAAUACCCCAUAAGACCACAGGGAUGCAUAUUCCAGGGGUCAAAGCUCCGCAAGGGGCGCUUGAGGAGGAGCCCGAGUCCUANCAUGGUAGUUGGCGGGGUAAUGGCCCACCAAGCCGUUGACGGGUAGCCGGCCUGAAAGGGCAAACGGCCACACUGGCACUGAGACACGGGCCAGACUCCUACGGGAGGCAGCAGUGGGGAAUUUUGGACAAUGGGGCAACCCUGAUCCAGCGACGCCGCGUGGAGGAUGAAGGUCUUCGGAUUGUAAACUCCUUUUGGAGGGAUGAAUGGCUUGGUGAAUAGCCAAGCGUGACAGUACUCUCUGAAUAAGCCACGGCUAACUACGU